UCCGGAUUGAUGUAGGUGGUUAACAUACUUGCCUUUCACGCAGGAUCCCGGGGUUCGAGUCCCCGAUCCGGAA
RNAcentral lists this transfer RNA (73 nucleotides) under Chaetoceros tenuissimus. Its description in RNAcentral is "tRNA-Glu". It matches the Rfam family "tRNA". Rfam says of the family: Transfer RNA (tRNA) molecules are approximately 80 nucleotides in length. Their secondary structure includes four short double-helical elements and three loops (D, anti-codon, and T loops). Lineage: Eukaryota; Bacillariophyta; Thalassiosirophyceae; Chaetocerotales; Chaetocerotaceae. The record is from RNAcentral.